GAUGAACGCUAGCGGCAGGCCUAAUACAUGCAAGUCGAACGAGAUUAAGAGGCUUGCUUCUUAUGAAAGUGGCGCACGGGUGCGUAACGCGUAUGCAACCUACCUUAAUCAGGGGGGGAGCCCGAAGAAAUUCAGAUUAAGACCGCAUAAAAACACAGGAUAGCAUUAUCCAAUGUUCAAAUAUUUAUAGGAUUAAGAUGGGCAUGCGUGUCAUUAGCUAGUUGGCGGGGUAACGGCACACCAAGGCGACGAUGACUAGGGGAUCUGAGAGGAUGACCCCCCACACUGGUACUGAGACACGGACCAGACUCCUACGGGAGGCAGCAGUAAGGAAUAUUGGUCAAUGGAGGGAACUCUGAACCAGCCAUGCCGCGUGCAGGAAGACAGCCCUCUGGGUCGUAAACUGCUUUUAUUCGGGAAUAAACCUUUCUACGUGUAGGAAGCUGAAUGUACCGAAGGAAUAAGGAUCGGCUAACUCCGUGCCAGCAGCCGCCGUAA
This 498-nucleotide ribosomal RNA is filed under the name uncultured bacterium. Its description in RNAcentral is "partial 16S ribosomal RNA". It matches the Rfam family "Bacterial small subunit ribosomal RNA", at positions 28 to 523 of the family's 1533-position model. The record is from RNAcentral.